UACCCCCAGCGAGGGAGUGGGGAGGAUGCCCCCUGGGGCCGGCCCACCUCUGACCCACGGCCCCUUGUCCCCAGCCCUCGGAGUGUGAGCAGUGCACCUGUGACCCGGACGGCAUCGCUCGCUGCCUGGUGGCCGACUGCGCCCCCCCGCCCUGCGUCAACGCCGUCUACGAGACGGGCCAGUGCUGCCCCACGUGCCAGGACGGUCCCAACUGCUACGCGGACAGGAGCCGGACGCGCAUCAUCCCCGCCGGAGAGGCCGUCUGGGUGGAGCCCUGCACCCGGUGUCGCUGCCACGACGGCCAGGACGCAGGCUACUGGGAAGGCAACCGGGUGGCCAAGUGCGAACUGCUCCGUAACUGCCGCCCGCUGGACCGGCCCGACUCCUGAGCGCCCCUCUCCCAACCCCAUCCCCCACCUCCUGCUGGGCCGCAGAGCCUCCCCCACCUUCUGCUGGGCCGCAGAGCCCCCCUCAAAAA
This 478-nucleotide long non-coding RNA is filed under the name Chrysemys picta bellii (western painted turtle). RNAcentral's name for it is "lncRNA (ENSCPBG00000003541.1)". Lineage: Eukaryota; Metazoa; Chordata; Testudines; Emydidae. The record is from RNAcentral.